This 210-nucleotide long non-coding RNA is filed under the name Homo sapiens (human). Its description in RNAcentral is "HSALNT0236971". Lineage: Eukaryota; Metazoa; Chordata; Mammalia; Primates; Hominidae. The record is from RNAcentral.
AUUGUCCGUGAAAUCAGGUGGUCCAGGGCCAGGUUGGUCCAUAGAGGCUCUGACUCUGCAACACCUCACCCCAGGGUGCCGCCAGCAUAAAGACAGAAGCCUGCAGGGCUCAACAAGGAGAAGGGGCAAAGUGAAGAGAAUUCGGGAAGCUCGUGACAGCAAAAUCACAGGUCAUGGAGUAAAGGGAAGACGAAAUUAGAAAGGAGGUUU